UAUUGGAAGUCGAACCGUGGGAAUUGAAGCAUCUUAGUACCACGUGGAAAAGAAAUCAAUUGAGAUUUCCCAAGUAGUGGCGAACGAAAAGGAAAUAGCCCAAACUGAAUCCUUCGGGAGAUGUGGUGUUUUGGUAUGAUAAUAUGGAAUCCUGGAUCCCAGUUGAAGUAAUCUGGAACGUUAUGGCAUAGAGGGUGAUACCCCCGUAAACGAAGUGUGAAGGGUCCUAUUCAUACCAGAGUAGUUGUCCUUGGUAGUGGGCAAUGAAUAUGGGUGAAAGUAGCAUCCGAGGCUAAAUAUCUCUCAAGACCGAUAGUGGACUAGUACCGUGAGGGAAAGCUGAAAAGUACCCCGGAAGGGGGGUGAAAAGUGCAUGAAACCUAUUGGUUACAGACGUGCGUGGC
RNAcentral lists this ribosomal RNA (404 nucleotides) under Nitrosopumilaceae archaeon. Its description in RNAcentral is "partial 23S ribosomal RNA". It matches the Rfam family "Archaeal large subunit ribosomal RNA", at positions 151 to 570 of the family's 2987-position model. Lineage: Archaea; Thermoproteati; Nitrososphaerota; Nitrososphaeria; Nitrosopumilales; Nitrosopumilaceae. The record is from RNAcentral.